CUCCUACGGGGCGCAGCAGUGGGGAAUAUUGCACAAUGGGGGGAACCCUGAUGCAGCGACGCCGCGUGAGUGAAGAGGUAUUUCGGUAUGUAAAGCUCUAUCAGCAGGGAAGAAAAUGACGGUACCUGACUAAGAAGCCCCGGCUAACUACGUGCCAGCAGCCGCGGUAAUACGUGGGUGGCAAGCGUUGUCCGGAUUUACUGGGUGUAAAGGGCGUGCAGCCGGGAAGACAAGUCAUAUGUGAAAUCCCGCGGCUCAACCGCGGAACUGCAUUUGAAACUGUUUUUCUUGAGUACCGGAGAGGU
This 305-nucleotide ribosomal RNA is filed under the name uncultured bacterium. RNAcentral's name for it is "bacterial SSU rRNA". It matches the Rfam family "Bacterial small subunit ribosomal RNA", at positions 336 to 658 of the family's 1533-position model. The record is from RNAcentral.